Molecule: long non-coding RNA, 970 nt
Organism: Limulus polyphemus (Atlantic horseshoe crab)
Lineage: Eukaryota; Metazoa; Arthropoda; Merostomata; Xiphosura; Limulidae
Exons: 3
Source: RefSeq, a predicted model, not a curated record
AUAUAAACUUGUUUUAGACAAAUUUAGUGUCUUAGUUAACUUCUGAUUAAUUAUAUUAAUAGGUUUUAGACAAAUUUAGUGUCUUAGUUAACUUCUGAUUAAGUACAUAUACUAGUUGCAAACAAAUCUAAUAUGUUAAAUAACUUAUGAUUAAUUAUAUGAACUUGUUUUAGACAAGUGUAAUGUUCUAAUUAACUUCUAGUUAAGCAUAUAUACUUCUUUUAAACAAAUUUAAUGUGUUAGUGCACCUAUGGUUAAGUAUAUUUACUUGUUUUAGACAAAUCUAAUGUGUUAGUUAAUUCUUGAUAAUAUGUCAGUCUAUGUUAACAAAUCAUUGAAGUUGGCUUCAUUCAAACCAAGUGUUUCUGUUGAUUUCUGACUCAUCAGCUUAUUUCAACCUAAUUACUGUGUCUAUUAACUUCUGAUAGUAUUUCAGGUGGCUUCAGACAAAUCUGUUUUGCCAGUUCACUUCUUAUGUAUCGUAUUACUUUAGUUUAUUAUGUCUGUGAUCUCUUGAUGUGUUGACUAAUUUCUGUCUCUUCCAAGCAUGCAGUUAACAAAUAUGAAGAAAUAAACCCCUCUUUCUCAGAUUCAAGGGAGUGUAAACUGCUUAAGUUUCGCUUUCCAGAUGAAGUGUCGUUUAUUUCUUGCCAGCAGUUUAAAGGUUUCAAGAAGGUGAUAAUGAAAUGACUAGUAGAUCCAGACUGUGACUCCCAGAAGUGCUUCUUUACCUUGAAUUGUUUGUCAAGUUUGUGACCUUGACCAACCAAAUCAUGAGCGAGUUCAUUGUGAAUUGUGAGGGGAUAUACCAAGCAGUUUAAAAUCACGUGCAACAAAUAAAUUCUAUACAUACAAUACUCAAAGCUACCUGAAUUAUCAAGCAAAUAAAGACGUAAAUCGAUUUGUUUGUAAAAAAAAACAUGGCUACUUACGAGUGGUUGAGUUAUUAUGUUUGAUGAGGACAAAUGUA